This 436-nucleotide ribosomal RNA is filed under the name uncultured bacterium. RNAcentral describes it as "bacterial SSU rRNA". It matches the Rfam family "Bacterial small subunit ribosomal RNA", at positions 335 to 762 of the family's 1533-position model. The record is from RNAcentral.
ACUCCUACGGGAGGCAGCAGUAGGGAAUCUUCCACAAUGGGCGCAAGCCUGAUGGAGCAACACCGCGUGAGUGAAGAAGGGUUUCGGCUCGUAAAAGCUCUGUUGUUAAAGAAGAACACGUAUGAGAGUAACUGUUCAUACGUUGACGGUAUUUAACCAGAAAGUCACGGCUAACUACGUGCCAGCAGCCGCGGUAAUACGUAGGUGGCAAGCGUUAUCCGGAUUUAUUGGGCGUAAAGAGAGUGCAGGCGGUUUUCUAAGUCUGAUGUGAAAGCCUUCGGCUUAACCGGAGAAGUGCAUCGGAAACUGGAUAACUUGAGUGCAGAAGAGGGUAGUGGAACUCCAUGUGUAGCGGUGGAAUGCGUAGAUAUAUGGAAGAACACCAGUGGCGAAGGCGGCUACCUGGUCUGCAACUGACGCUGAGACUCGAAAGCAU